Molecule: ribosomal RNA, 253 nt
Filed under: uncultured bacterium
Lineage: Bacteria
Description: partial 16S ribosomal RNA
Rfam family: Bacterial small subunit ribosomal RNA
Source: RNAcentral
UACGUAGGGGGCAAGCGUUGUCCGGAAUUAUUGGGCGUAAAGAGCGUGUAGGCGGUCCGAUCAGUUUGCUGUAAAAGUCGGGGGCUCAACCCCCGAAAGCCGGUGAAUACUGUCGGACUAGAGUACGGAAGAGGCGAGUGGAAUUCCUGGUGUAGCGGUGAAAUGCGCAGAUAUCAGGAGGAACACCAAUUGCGAAGGCAGCUCGCUGGGACGUCACUGACGCUGAGACGCGAAAGCGUGGGGAGCAAACAGG